Globicephala melas (long-finned pilot whale) is the source of this 3718-nucleotide long non-coding RNA. RefSeq lists it as uncharacterized. NCBI's taxonomy places the organism in Eukaryota, Metazoa, Chordata, Mammalia, Artiodactyla, Delphinidae. The record is from RefSeq and is a predicted model, not a curated record.
UCAGUUCCUCCGCCCGCGCCCUCCCCACCCGGCCCCUUCCCACCCGGGACUACCGGCGGCUCCGCGGGGUCCGCCCCUUGCGCCCGGGGGUCUGCGGAGCGCGCGGGCCUCCCCAGACCCCUGUCGUCGUCUGACUCCUCCGGGCGUGGGCCGGGGGCUGGCGGCCGGGACCCCCGGCUCUGGGCCUCCCAGUUUGGGCCUCAGUUUCCACAUCCACAAACCGGGGAGAUCCCUUUUUGGAGGCCGAGUGAGCGGGCUCCUCCCCAAAGCAAAGAGAACUCCGAGCCUCGUACUCUUCCCGUCUGAAGUCCGUGGGAACACCAGCUCCAACAGAUCAUUCUGCCCUUUCUUGGAAACAAGAUUCCAGGGAUGUUCUUCCAAAGGGAACCUUAGAUUUUGCGGCGGAACCUGUGUCCAGAUAGGAAGCCUACACAUGGAUGGAGGGAGGCUGCCUGAGUGCAGGAAACGAACACGUCUUGACUAACCUCAGCAUUUAGCUGGGAUGCGCCCAGGAUGCCAGUGUUCCCCAGGAACUCCGUGUGAAAACCACUGAACUAGAGUUUGGAAGUUAAAAAAACUGCUCAGCCUCCCGCCUCUGCGAAGUUUGCCCAUCUGUCUGGAAAAAGGCAGUUCAGGCCAUGUUUUUCCCAAGCAAUAGAAAAAGCCAGUCUCAACAAAGCGAGAAGUUUGUCCUAAGAAGCUGGAAGUUUACUUAAGAGAUAUUUCAACAACCUAUGUCUUCGAAAGUGGGGGAAUUUUUCUUGGAGUAUACCUGCACCAGUAUGCCCACCUUGACUUAAUCGUAUGGGGGUCUACAAGUCUUGUUCAUAAAAUGUGUUGAGCUCGAGGAAGAAAAGUACGCGGGCCUCUCUCACUGUUGUGGCCUCUCCCGUUGUGGAGCACAGGCUCCAGACGCGCAGGCUCAGCGGCCAUGGCUCACGGGCCCAGCCGCUCCGCGGCAUGUGGGAUCUUCCCAGACCGGGGCAUGAACCCAUGUCCCCUGCAUCGGCAGGCGGACUCUCAACCACUGCGCCACCAGGGAAGCCCAAAAUAAUGUAACUUUUAAAGUAUGUCUUUUGCUGUUCUGAUGAGCAGAAUUUAUUAUAGACCUAGUUUGUUGUGUGUGUGUAUGAAUGUGUGUGUGUGUGUGUGGUGGGGGGGUGGUGAUCUUGGAUACACAGAGUUAAAUUUAACGUUUUAAAUUAAUCACAUGGUUGACAUCUGCUAUGACCAGGGCCCCUUCCCAGGUAUUGCAGAGGACACAGUUGUUAUGAGGCACAGACCUUGUUUACAGAAGGCCUACAUCAGAUGUGGAAAAAAGGCUUAAACAUGUGGAAAAGUCAAUAACAAUCCCCAUAGGAAGCUGACAGGUUUUUCCAGAAGUCCUUACAUGAUGUUCCGUUCAUGUAAUUUGAUGACCAGAAGAUGCUUCUUGAGAGGACCUGUCCACUUGAAAACAUCUUAGUCAGUCUUUUUUGGGAUGUUGUCUGUCUUUAGGUAAUAACCGUGUGUCACAGGAAUCUGCAGAGGUAAGAUUUUCUUCCCAUUUAUUAAAAAAAUUGAACCAAAGUUUAUUUGGCAAUAAGAUAGGGGCUAAGUCUCUACAAGGGCUUUAAAUUUCUCUUUGGGCAGGGUUCAGCCUUUUGGGCCCCUUCUGAUGACUACCUGUGACUAUUUUUUCUAACCAAGGUCUAGCCCUUACGUCCUGAUUCUUGGGUAGCUGAUCCAGCACUGCAAUCUGUCCUGGUUUGUUACAGGCAGAGAUAAGCGAUAAGAUUCCCCAAUCCUAUUCUGUCAUAGCUUAAUACCUCUGUUGAAGCUCGGGGAUAUGAGCUGCAGAGAUGCAUGGAUGGAGAGCUGACGUCAGCCUGGCAGUUGGAAAGGUCUACUGUGACAAGCUGCUCCCAAGGUGCACUAAGCUGUGAGGCAGCACCGCCUUGUCUUUCUGUAGGGAACCCCUGCGUUCCAGACCUAGAUUCCGCACGCACAUCCCUAACCUGGCUCUUAUUAGCAUCGUGACUUGUGUUAGUGUUUAGCACUCUUAUUCAAGAAUUAAAAUCAUACUGCAUAUAAAAUGUGAAAUCAGACAUGCUUCCUCUCCAGUGGUCUAGAGAGUCACACAAAAGAAAUUGAGAAGUAUUUUAGGAGAGGGUGAAAGUAGUGGGGGGGAAAGAAGUAAUCAGUUCAGGAUUUUCCUAGAGAAAUUACAAAGGAACCACCAGAAGUCCCAAAGGGAGUAGGUUGAAGUAACUUGCCACUCUGACGAAGGAAAACCAACCGAUUAUGAAUUCAGUUCAGCGAAGGGCCCGGCUCUGCUAGUCUCAUCACUACAGCCCUAGAUGGCCCGGGUUCCUCUUCCUUCAUCACCUGCCCCGAUUGUUUCCUUGUAUUGUGUAUAAUUUUAUGAGCUUUGUGAUUAAGUUGGAGAAAAAUGAGACUAUUUAAGGACUCUUAGUAUUGUCUUAAAAUAAUGUAUACUUCUGUCUACUCUAGAUCAUUACUCAGUGUAGAACUUGGAGCUCUUUACCUAAUUCUCAGCUAUUCUAAGACAGCAAAUUUACAAUGUCUUCAAUUGGUCUAAACACAUACGGACAUUUGGAAGAUGAAAUAUUAUUGCUGCUGUUACUGAAUUUGCUGAAUACUCUUUCUAGUUACAGAGUAAAUCUGACUGUGGAGAUUAAUUAAGCAACAUAUGUUCAGUAAAAUCAUCAUCUUAAGAGUCAGAAAGUUAACACUACAUAUAAAAUUAUGAAUGUUAAAGUAGCACAUAUAAUUUUCCUUGAUCAUAAAUGACUAAUUUUGGUAGAAUUAUAUGCCAUUUUAAAAAUCUGCUUUAUUGCAAUGUAAUCUAUGUACAAUUAAAAUUCACCCAUUUAAAGUGUACUGUUCAAUGAGUUUUGAAUGAAUACAGUCACGUAACCACAACUAAAAUCAAGACAGAAAACAUUUCCUUCACUCAAAAUGUUCCCUCAAGGGACUUCCCUGGCGGCCCAGCAGUUAAGACUCUGUGCUUCCACUGCAGGGGGCACGGGUUCCAUCCCUGGUCGGGGAGCUAAGAUCCAGAAUGCCCCACAGUGCAGCCAAAAAGAAAAAAAAGAAAGAAAAAAAGUUCCCUCGUGCUCCUUUGCAGUCAAUCCCCAUCCCUCCUCCCACCCCCCCAACCCAGGAACAGAUCUGUUUCUAUAAUUUUGCCUUUUCUAGAUUGACAUAUAAAUGAAAUCUGUACUCUUUUGUGUCUGGCUUCUUUCAGCUAGCAUAAUGCUCUUGAGAUUCAUCCAUAUUAUUGUACAUAUCAGUAGUUUGUUUCUUUGUAUUGUUCAGUAGCAUUCCAUUACAUGGAAAUACCACAGUUUACUUACCCAUUCAUUACCUUUUGACAGGCAUUUGGUAUAGUUCCAGUUUUUGGCUAUCACGAAUAAAAUUACUCUGAAAUGUCUUUGUGUGGACAUACAUUUCCAUUUCUCUUGGGAAAUACCUAGCAGUGGAUUUGUUGGAUUAUAUGGCCUCUCACUGUUGUGGCCUCUCCCGUUGCGGAGCACAGGCUGAGUGGCCAUGGCUCACGGGCCCAGCCGCUCUGCGGCAUACGGGAUCUUCCCGGACCGGGGCACGAACCCGCGCCCCCUGCAUUGGCAGGCGGACUCUCAACCACUGCGUCACCAGGGAAGCCCUUUUUUCUGCCUUCUUUUGAUUUAAGUAUCUUUUAAUGAUUCAAUUUUAU